GAGGGCAAUGCCUGCCCAGUUAAGAAGAAUGGAAGAAUCUCAUCAAGAAGCAACAGAGAAAGAAGUAGAAAGAAUCUUGGGAUUGUUGCAGACAUAUUUUCGAGAAGAUCCUGAUACCCCAAUGUCCUUCUUUGACUUUGUGGUUGAUCCUCAUUCUUUCCCCCGUACAGUGGAAAACAUCUUUCAUGUUUCCUUCAUUAUACGGGAUGGUUUUGCAAGAAUAAGACUUGACCAAGACCGACUGCCAGUAAUAGGUAAAUGAUACUAUGUUUGGAAAAAUUAGUUUUAGAGAAAAUAUAUUUGUUAGUAGAAUUUAAAUAUUUUACUAAAUGUAAAUGAAUUUUCAAUGUAGAUUAACUUUUACAAUAUUGUAUCUUGCUCAACUAUCUGAAGAUACUGAAAACAUGGCCAGCGUCUAAAAUUUUGAUGGAUUCAUCUAUAUCGAUUCAACAUCUGCUGUAAAUAUUAACAAAGAAAUGAUAUAAUUUCCCUCAGAUCUUAAUUUAGAAAGUUGGUGAUUGCAGUCAUUUUUGUAGUAUCCCUCUUUCUAAUCACGUUUUGUCAGAUGCCGGCACCUUCUUUUCUCUUUGAGGUUCUAUGAAUCUUUCAUUCUUACCUGAAUAAUUUCACACUCUCCAUUACUCAUGUCCUCCUAAGGUCUCCUGUGGAGAGUGAAUAUUUCCAUCGCACU
Molecule: small RNA, 691 nt
Filed under: Pan troglodytes (chimpanzee)
Lineage: Eukaryota; Metazoa; Chordata; Mammalia; Primates; Hominidae
Description: retained intron
Source: RNAcentral